CGGGGGGGGGGGCUAAUAAUGCAGUCGAGCGAGCUGAAUUCAAAGAUCCCUUCGGGGUGAUUUGUUGGACGCUAGCGGCGGAUGGGUGAGUAACACGUGGGCAAUCUGCCCUAAAGACUGGGAUACCACUUGGAAACAGGUGCUAAUACCGGAUAACAACAUGAAUCGCAUGAUUCAAGUUUGAAAGGCGGCGCAAGCUGUCACUUUAGGAUGAGCCCGCGGCGCAUUAGCUAGUUGGUGGGGUAAAGGCCUACCAAGGCAAUGAUGCGUAGCCGAGUUGAGAGACUGAUCGGCCACAUUGGGACUGAGACACGGCCCAAACUCCUACGGGAGGCAGCAGUAGGGAAUCUUCCACAAUGGACGCAAGUCUGAUGGAGCAACGCCGCGUGAGUGAAGAAGGUUUUCGGAUCGUAAAGCUCUGUUGUUGGUGAAGAAGGAUAGAGGCAGUAACUGGUCUUUAUUUGACGGUAAUCAACCAGAAAGUCACGGCUAACUACGUGCCAGCAGCCGCGGUAAUACGUAGGUGGCAAGCGUUGUCCGGAUUUAUUGGGCGUAAAGCGAGCGCAGGCGGAAUGAUAAGUCUGAUGUGAAAGCCCACGGCUCAACCGUGGAACUGCAUCGGAAACUGUCAUUCUUGAGUGCAGAAGAGGAGAGUGGAACUCCAUGUGUAGCGGUGGAAUGCGUAGAUAUAUGGAAGAACACCAGUGGCGAAGGCGGCUCUCUGGUCUGCAACUGACGCUGAGGCUCGAAAGCAUGGGUAGCGAACAGGAUUAGAUACCCUGGUAGUCCAUGCCGUAAACGAUGAGCGCUAGGUGUUGGGGACUUUCCGGUCCUCAGUGCCGCAGCAAACGCAUUAAGCGCUCCGCCUGGGGAGUACGACCGCAAGGUUGAAACUCAAAGGAAUUGACGGGGGCCCGCACAAGCGGUGGAGCAUGUGGUUUAAUUCGAAGCAACGCGAAGAACCUUACCAGGUCUUUGACAUCCUGCGACUACAUCUUAGAGAUAAGGUCGGUUCCCCUUCGGGGGACGCAGGAGACAGGUGGUGCAUGGGCUGUCGUCAGCUCGUGUCGUGAGAUGUUGGUUAAGUCCCGCACGAGGCGCAACCUUGUCUUUAGUUUGGCCAUCAUUUAGUUGGCCACCUUCCUAGAGAGACUGACGGUGACCAAUCCGAAGGAAAGGUUGGGAAUGACCGAUCAAGGUUCAAUUCCAAUGUGUCCCUCCCU
RNAcentral lists this ribosomal RNA (1223 nucleotides) under Lactobacillus delbrueckii subsp. lactis. RNAcentral describes it as "bacterial SSU rRNA". It matches the Rfam family "Bacterial small subunit ribosomal RNA", at positions 36 to 1215 of the family's 1533-position model. The record is from RNAcentral. Lineage: Bacteria; Bacillati; Bacillota; Bacilli; Lactobacillales; Lactobacillaceae.